GAUGAACGCUAGCGGCAGGCCUAACACAUGCAAGUCGAGGGGUAACAGAGAAGCUUGCUUCUGCUGACGACCGGCGCACGGGUGCGUAACGCGUAUACAAUCUACCUUUUGCUGAGGAAUAGCCCAGAGAAAUUUGGAUUAAUGCCUCAUAGUAUGUAGACUUCUCAUGGAGAUUACAUUAAAGGUUACGGCAAAAGAUGAGUAUGCGUCCUAUUAGUUUGUUGGUGUGGUAACGGCACACCAAGACUACGAUAGGUAGGGGCCCUGAGAGGGGGAUCCCCCACACUGGUACUGAGACACGGACCAG
This 307-nucleotide ribosomal RNA is filed under the name uncultured bacterium. Its description in RNAcentral is "bacterial SSU rRNA". It matches the Rfam family "Bacterial small subunit ribosomal RNA", at positions 28 to 334 of the family's 1533-position model. The record is from RNAcentral.